CGCGCAGAACCUUACCACCUUUUGACAUGCCUGGACCGCCACGGAGACGUGGCUUUCCCUUCGGGGACUAGGACACAGGUGCUGCAUGGCUGUCGUCAGCUCGUGUCGUGAGAUGUUGGGUUAAGUCCCGCAACGAGCGCAACCCUCGCCUUUAGUUGCCAUCAUUUAGUUGGGCACUCUAAAGGGACUGCCGGUGCUAAGCCGGAGGAAGGUGGGGAUGACGUCAAGUCCUCAUGGCCCUUACACGCUGGGCUACACACGUGCUACAAUGGCGGUGACAGUGGGCAGCCACCUCGCGAGAGGGAGCUAAUCCCAAAAAGCCGUCUCAGUUCGGAUUGUUCUCUGCAACUCGAGAGCAUGAAGGCGGAAUCGCUAGUAAUCGCGGAUCAGCAUGCCGCGGUGAAUACGUUCCCAGGCCUUGUACACACCGCCCGUCACACCAUGGGAGUUGGAUUCACUCGAAGGCGUUGAGCUAACCCGCAAGGGAGGCAGGCGACCACAGUGGGUUUAGCGACUGGGGUGAAGUCGUAACAAGGUAGCCGUAGGGGAACC
RNAcentral lists this ribosomal RNA (552 nucleotides) under uncultured bacterium. Its description in RNAcentral is "bacterial SSU rRNA". It matches the Rfam family "Bacterial small subunit ribosomal RNA", at positions 960 to 1512 of the family's 1533-position model. The record is from RNAcentral.